GACGAACGCUGGCGGCGUGCUUAACACAUGCAAGUCGAACGGAAAGGCCCCUUCGGGGGUACUCGAGUGGCGAACAGGUGAGUAACACGUGAGUAACCUGCCCUUGACUUCGGGAUAACUUCAGGAAACUGGGGCUAAUACCGGAUAGGAAUCCUUGCUGCAUGGUGGGGGUUGGAAAGCUUCGGCGGUUUUGGAUGGACUCGCGGCUUAUCAGCUUGUUGGUGGGGUAGUGGCUUACCAAGGCUUUGACGGGUAGCCGGCCUGAGAGGGCGACCGGCCACAUUGGGACUGAGAUACGGCCCAGACUCCUACGGGAGGCAGCAGUGGGGAAUAUUGCACAAUGGGCGGAAGCCUGAUGCAGCAACGCCGCGGGCGGGAUGACGGCCUUCGGGUUGUAAACCGCUUUCAGCAGGGGCGAAGCUUGUGAUGACGGUACCUGCAGAAGAAGCACCGGCUAACUACGUG
Molecule: ribosomal RNA, 465 nt
Filed under: uncultured bacterium
Lineage: Bacteria
Description: partial 16S ribosomal RNA
Rfam family: Bacterial small subunit ribosomal RNA
Source: RNAcentral